GUAGGUGAACCUGCGGAAGGAUCAUUAACACGUAUCCACGUUCAACACCCUCUGUGCACCUUUGCGUACCCACUGUAGUAGAGGGAGAGUGCAAACUUUCUCUUCUACCUAGAGUGGUUGUUGGAACCUGGGCUGAUGACAGAAGUAGUAUAGCUGCGGGGACUUCAAAAUCCUCGUGCUGUGCCUGCUGCACAUUGACCUGGGUGUGGGCUGGAGUUGUGAGCUAGCCUUACUUCUCUUGUCUCACGAUCUAUUUUUUAACCACUUUUAACCCCAACAUUGUCUAAGUAACUGCGACGCUCUCGAGCGCAGCAGAUACGCAAAAAACUGAACAACUGUUAGCAAUGGAUAUCUUGGUUCUC
This 362-nucleotide unclassified non-coding RNA is filed under the name rhizosphere metagenome. RNAcentral's name for it is "partial ribosomal RNA internal transcribed spacer region". The record is from RNAcentral.